Molecule: long non-coding RNA, 803 nt
Filed under: Hordeum vulgare
Lineage: Eukaryota; Viridiplantae; Streptophyta; Magnoliopsida; Poales; Poaceae
Description: long non-coding RNA (HVUL_LNC004249)
Source: RNAcentral
ACUAAUCUCUAAAGAUCAAAUUCAAAUUAAUUAACCUUACCAUAAAUCAUUUAGUCACAUUAAUUAAUAUUUCCAUACAUCAACAAAUCUUUAUUCCUAAUUGUGGACCUCAUAGUCUACGUUUUAGGGUCUUUUCCGUCGGACUUAUUUUCAUCCCACCACCAAUUGUUACUGAAAACCACCCCCUGAGAAUCCCGAGCUAGAUUCAUACGGUUCUCCCAUCACCGCUCUCUCACCUUAAACCGCCUCCCAUGUUCCUUCACCUUGAAACUGCAGCCCACAUCACCCCAUUCCCAAUCUCCGUCGAGCCCUCCUCCCGUGCACCCAUCUCGAUCUAGAUCCGGAGGAGGGUCGCCUCCCACCCAGUCAUCGUGCCUGGGUCUCCUUUCUCUCCCUCAGCGGCCACAGUAGACGCAUGUGGCUAGAUGGAUUGAGGGAGCUGGGUCGGUGCACUCAAGGCAUACAUGGCCGGAGGUCGACGACGAGCAAGGGUACACGUUGGUGGCGGCCUGAGUGGACCCUGCAUCUUUAUCGCCGAACUCAUAUCACGUAUCUCACUGAGCCUGAACAAUACAACUGAAUGGCACAGCGACGGCAGGUGGUUGUUGUGGCAGAACCAGCCAUCUUUCCCAGCCAGGCUGACCAGGCAGGUUCCAGCCAGGCAUCUGUCGGUAGCGUGCAUAAAUGUAUCAGUAAUGGACCGGUCGUUCGACAGUUGUAAUGUAAGGUAUCGACUAUAUUGUCUAUAGAUUCAAGUUCCCACACACACGAUCUGAUAAAGGGUUGAACUACACAUCUAAGAG